UACGAAGGGGGCUAGCGUUGUUCGGAAUUACUGGGCGUAAAGCGCACGUAGGCGGAUCUAUAAGUCAGGGGUGAAAUCCCGGGGCUCAACCUCGGAACUGCCUUUGAUACUGUAGAUCUCGAGUCCGAUAGAGGUGAGUGGAAUUCCGCGUGUAGCAGUGAAAUGCGUAGAGAUGCGGAGGAACACCGAUGGCGAAGGCAGCCCCCUGGGCUAACACUGACGCUCAGGCACGAAAGCGUGGGGAGCAAACAGG
RNAcentral lists this ribosomal RNA (253 nucleotides) under uncultured bacterium. RNAcentral describes it as "partial 16S ribosomal RNA". It matches the Rfam family "Bacterial small subunit ribosomal RNA", at positions 524 to 776 of the family's 1533-position model. The record is from RNAcentral.